RNAcentral lists this ribosomal RNA (447 nucleotides) under uncultured bacterium. Its description in RNAcentral is "partial 16S ribosomal RNA". It matches the Rfam family "Bacterial small subunit ribosomal RNA", at positions 329 to 792 of the family's 1533-position model. The record is from RNAcentral.
UUCCAGACUCCUACGGGAGGCAGCAGUGGGGGAUAUUGCACAAUGGGGGAAACCCUGAUGCAGCAACGCCGCGUGAGUGAAGAAGUAUUUCGGUAUGUAAAGCUCUAUCAGCAGGGAAGAAGAAAGACGGUACCUGACUAAGAAGCCCCGGCUAACUACGUGCCAGCAGCCGCGGUAAUACGUAGGGGGCAAGCGUUAUCCGGAUUUACUGGGCGUAAAGGGAGCGUAGACGGCGGCGCAAGUCUGGAGUGAAAGCCCGGGGCCCAACCCCGGGACUGCUCUGGAAACUGCGGCGCUGGAGUACGGGAGGGGCAGGCGGAAUUCCUGGUGUAGCGGUGAAAUGCGUAGAUAUCAGGAGGAACACCGGCGGCGAAGGCGGCCUGCUGGACCGUGACUGACGUUGAGGCUCGAGAGCGUGGGGAGCAAACAGGAUUAGAUACCCCUGUA